AGUGAACGCUGGCGGUAGGCCUAACACAUGCAAGUCGAACGGCAGCACAGUAAGAGUUUGCGCUUACGGGUGGCGAGUGGCGGACGGGUGAGGAAUACAUCGGACUCUACUUUUUCGUGGGGGAUAACGUAGGGAAACUUACGCUAAUACCGCAUACGACCUACGGGUGAAAGCAGGGGAUCUUCGGACCUUGCGCGAAUGAAUGAGCCGAUGUCGGAUUAGCUAGUUGGCGGGGUAAAGGCCCACCAAGGCGACGAUCCGUAGCUGGUCUGAGAGGAUGAUCAGCCACACUGGAACUGAGACACGGUCCAGACUCCUACGGGAGGCAGCAGUGGGGAAUAUUGGACAAUGGGCGCAAGCCUGAUCCAGCCAUACCGCGUGGGUGAAGAAGGCCUUCGGGUUGUAAAGCCCUUUUGUUGGGAAAGAAAAGCAGCAGGUUAAUACCCCGCUGUUCUGACGGUACCCAAAGAAUAAGCACCGGCUAACUUCGUG
This 492-nucleotide ribosomal RNA is filed under the name uncultured bacterium. RNAcentral's name for it is "partial 16S ribosomal RNA". It matches the Rfam family "Bacterial small subunit ribosomal RNA", at positions 29 to 507 of the family's 1533-position model. The record is from RNAcentral.